CUACCUAUUUUCAAUACUCAGUUCUUGAUCACAAAGGUGGUUUUCCCAGGGUGAGGCUUAUCCAUUCAUUGCACUACGGAUGUGCUGACCCUUUCGAUUUCCCCAAAUGUGGGAAACUCAGCUGCAUAAUUUGUGGUACUGGGGGGGACUGUAUUUGCGCUCUCCCUUA
This 169-nucleotide small nuclear RNA is filed under the name Sorex araneus (European shrew). RNAcentral's name for it is "U1 spliceosomal RNA (ENSSARG00000015223.1)". It matches the Rfam family "U1 spliceosomal RNA". From Rfam's summary of the family: U1 is a small nuclear RNA (snRNA) component of the spliceosome (involved in pre-mRNA splicing). Its 5' end forms complementary base pairs with the 5' splice junction, thus defining the 5' donor site of an intron. The record is from RNAcentral. Lineage: Eukaryota; Metazoa; Chordata; Mammalia; Eulipotyphla; Soricidae.